AGGGAAUCUUCGGCAAUGGACGAAAGUCUGACCGAGCAACGCCGCGUGAGUGAAGAAGGUUUUCGGAUCGUAAAACUCUGUUGGUAGAGAAGAACGUUGGUGAGAGUGGAAAGCUCAUCAAGUGACGGUAACUACCCAGAAAGGGACGGCUAACUACGUGCCAGCAGCCGCGGUAAUACGUAGGUCCCGAGCGUUGUCCGGAUUUAUUGGGCGUAAAGCGAGCGCAGGUGGUUUAUUAAGUCUGGUGUAAAAGGCAGUGGCUCAACCAUUGUAUGCAUUGGAAACUGGUAGACUUGAGUGCAGGAGAGGAG
RNAcentral lists this ribosomal RNA (311 nucleotides) under uncultured bacterium. RNAcentral describes it as "partial 16S ribosomal RNA". It matches the Rfam family "Bacterial small subunit ribosomal RNA", at positions 356 to 659 of the family's 1533-position model. The record is from RNAcentral.